AAGAACUUUAACAUUUUAUAUUUUCUUCUUUUUUUUUUAAAGUAUCAGAGAUAGAACCCAUGGGCUUAACCACUGAGCCACAUUCCAGUCCUUUUUAUUUUUUAUUUUGAGACAGGGUCUUGCUAAGUUACUUAGGGCCUCUAUAAGUUCCCAAGACUGGCCUGGAACUUGCAAUCCUCCUUUCUCAGCCGCCCAAGUUGCUGGGAAUACAGGUGUAUAUCAUCAUGCCUGGCUCUCUUUAUUCUUUUAAACUAAUGUACCUAUCAAAUAUUCUAAUGUAGUUUAACAUUUAGAUUGAAGGUGUCCUAGCAGAUUUUGGAAGCUCAAUAGUUUCUGCAUAUGUUUUGAUUACUGCAAAGAUAUGUCCAGGCAGUUUUGAUUUCUUGCAUUCUACACUGGUAGGUAGGAAGAAUUGGCUUAUAACAAUGUUCCAUGUCAAAGCUCACUACAUUCUCAUCCUUGGCUUUUCCAACUAAAUAAUUUUAACUCCCUAUUUUUUUCCUAAGAGGACAUACUUCUCAAUAUGUCUUCUUUUGAGAAUUUAAGAACUGCCAUUUUCCCUCUGAAAAAGUUAUGACUUCCUGCUUGGUACUUCCUGCUCAGUAUUUUGACUUCUUUUAAGCCCCGUAAAACAGAGUUUCCUGAUUUGGGGAGAU
This 656-nucleotide long non-coding RNA is filed under the name Marmota monax (woodchuck). Lineage: Eukaryota; Metazoa; Chordata; Mammalia; Rodentia; Sciuridae. The record is from RNAcentral.